This 232-nucleotide ribosomal RNA is filed under the name uncultured bacterium. Its description in RNAcentral is "partial 16S ribosomal RNA". It matches the Rfam family "Bacterial small subunit ribosomal RNA", at positions 15 to 235 of the family's 1533-position model. The record is from RNAcentral.
GAUCCUGGCUCAGGAUGAACGCUAGCUACAGGCUUAACACAUGCAAGUCGAGGGGCAGCAUGGUCUUAGCUUGCUAAGGCUGAUGGUCGACCGGCGCACGGGUGAGUAACACGUAUCCAACCUGCCGUCUACUCUUGGCCAGCCUUCUGAAAGGAAGAUUAAUCCAGGAUGGGAUCAUGAGUUCACGUGUCCGCAUGAUUAAAGGUAUUUUCCGGUAGACGAUGGGGAUGCG